RNAcentral lists this ribosomal RNA (478 nucleotides) under uncultured bacterium. RNAcentral describes it as "bacterial SSU rRNA". It matches the Rfam family "Bacterial small subunit ribosomal RNA", at positions 21 to 518 of the family's 1533-position model. The record is from RNAcentral.
GGCUCAGGACGAACGCUGGCGGCGUGCUUCAUACAUGCAAGUCGAACGAGAAGCUGACUUCGGUCAGUGGAAAGUGGCGGACGGGUGAGUAAUAUGUAGAGAAUCUGCCCUUGAGUGGGGGACAACAGAGGGAAACUUCUGCUAAUACCCCAUAUGAGCUAACUUGAAAUAGUUAUCCUGAAAACUCCGGUGCUCAAGGAUGAGUCUGCAUCUGAUUAGCUAGUUGGCGGUGUAAUGGACCACCAAGACGACGAUCAGUAGCUGGUUUGAGAGGAUGAUCAGCCACAAUGGGACUGAGACACGGCCCAUACUCCUACGGGAGGCAGCAGUAGGGAAUUUUGCGCAAUGGGGCCGAAAGCCUGACGCAGCAACGCCGCGUGAACGAUUAAGCCCUUCGGGGUGUAAAGUUCUGUCAGUAGGGACGAAUUUUGACGGUACCUACAGAGGAAGCACCGGCUAACUCCGUGCCAGCCGCCGC